UGCAAGUCGAACGGCAGCGCGGGGCAACCUGGCGGCGAGUGGCGAACGGGUGAGUAAUAUAUCGGAACGUACCCAAGAGUGGGGAUAACGUAGCGAAAGUUACGCUAAUACCGCAUACGAUCUAAGGAUGAAAGCAGGGGAUCUUCGGACCUUGUGCUCCUGGAGCGGCCGAUAUCUGAUUAGCUAGUUGGUGAGGUAAAGGCUCACCAAGGCCACGAUCAGUAGCUGGUCUGAGAGGACGACCAGCCACACUGGAACUGAGACACGGUCCAGACUCCUACGGGAGGCAGCAGUGGGGAAUUUUGGACAAUGGGCGAAAGCCUGAUCCAGCAAUGCCGCGUGAGUGAAGAAGGCCUUCGGGUUGUAAAGCUCUUUUGUCAGGGAAGAAACGGUGAGGGCUAAUAUCCCUCGCUAAUGACGGUACCUGAAGAAUAAGCACCGGCUAACUACGUGCCAGCAGCCGCGGUAAUACGUAGGGUGCAAGCGUUAAUCGGAAUUACUGGGCGUAAAGCGUGCGCAGGCGGUUUUGUAAGUCUGACGUGAAAUUCCCGGGCUCAACCUGGGAAUUGCGUUGGAGACUGCAAGGCUAGAAUCUGGCAGAGGGGGGUAGAAUUUCCCGUGUAGCAGUGAAAUGCGUAGAGAUGUGGAGGAACACCGAUGGCGAAGGCAGCCCCUGGUCAAGAUUGA
This 687-nucleotide ribosomal RNA is filed under the name uncultured bacterium. RNAcentral's name for it is "bacterial SSU rRNA". It matches the Rfam family "Bacterial small subunit ribosomal RNA", at positions 56 to 743 of the family's 1533-position model. The record is from RNAcentral.